AUACGGAGGGUGCAAGCGUUAAUCGGAAUUACUGGGCGUAAAGCGUACGUAGGCGGUUCGUUAAGUUAGAUGUGAAAGCCCCGGGCUUAACCUGGGAACUGCAUUUAAAACUGGCGGACUAGAGUUGAGUAGAGGGGAGUGGAAUUUCAGGUGUAGCGGUGAAAUGCGUAGAGAUCUGAAGGAACACCAGUGGCGAAGGCGACUCCCUGGACUCGAACUGACGCUGAGGUACGAAAGCGUGGGGAGCAAACAGGAUUAGAAACCCGAGUAGUCC
This 274-nucleotide ribosomal RNA is filed under the name uncultured bacterium. RNAcentral describes it as "partial 16S ribosomal RNA". It matches the Rfam family "Bacterial small subunit ribosomal RNA", at positions 523 to 796 of the family's 1533-position model. The record is from RNAcentral.